UCUUUUCAGUACAGAUUGCAGUUGCUGCUGGAGUCCCAAAGAAGGGAAGAGGAAACGCCAUGAGGAGGGGAUAUAAACCCAUGUGCAGGGACACGAAGCAGAGGACAGGUCAGAGCACAGGAGCCAAACUUUGGGAUGAAUCCAGCAUCAGAAAGGUGCUCCAGGAGGACAAUUCCUGCAAUAGGCAUGGGGGGUCCCCAUGAGCAGCUGGAGAUCUGCUCCCAUUUGGCCUUCCCAUUACUUUCCAAUGUCGAUGGAGCCAUGUGACCCCUAGAAUCCAUCAGCAGCAUCACACCAGUUAUGGAAAAGACUCCAAAAUAUCACCAAAAAGAGGACUGGGCAAUACUGUGAAUUUCAAGUCUUUGAUGAACCGUCAUUCCAGGUAUUUUGAUGUGUUUUCCUUUGCACGAUGGUCUAAACACCGUUACUGUGCUGCUUUUCAGUAAGGAUUCUGGGCUGCAGUGGGAGAACCAUAUGGCCACAUUAAAGAUGACCCUAAGAAAACUACUUUCCUGGAAAGACCACAAAGGUAAUUUUCCAAGAAUCACAGGAAGGACUAUCUAAUUUAGCAACAGAGGUAAGGGAUCAUUUCUCUUUAGCAGAGAGGGGAUGGACAGAUGAAAACACUGUAUGCAGGAAAAACUAAAAACUUGGAGCAGCUGUCAGAAAAGAGUUUACAAAGGAAAGUGAGGGCUGUAGAAAGAGCUCACGUGUGAGGAAUAUUGAGUGUGGCACUGGAGCAGGGUCCUUUGCCCUUUUGGUCCCUGAUAACGGGAGAUUACCAUCUAAAAUUUGCAUGCUUUUUCCGUGCAAGUUUGUAGUUGAUUUGUUCCCAUUCCUUCAGUGAAAUAUCCUGCAAAGCAACAAAAAAAGCAAUAGGCUAAGACAGGUCCCCCAGAUGUGGUGAGGAGUGCUCAAUGGGUGUUUGUCUGCAAGAGGAAAUAAGUGCCUGUGUGCUCUUGCAGCAGGCUGUGUUUUAUGGUGGCACACAGAUACUCUGUGCUGCUGGGUGUGCUGGGUGGAAGUGGCAGAUAAGGCAUCCUGUCCAGAACAAUCUGGUAUGCUUCUCUGGGAGAGGGAAAAGGAAUUCAAGAAAGGACCACGUUGGGAGGAAAGAAAUGUUAAUGAUCUCUUCAGGGGCUGUGCUUUUGCCACUUCUCUAAAUGUGCCUGCAGUGAGAGCUCUGUAAGUGGAAUAUACAGAAGAAAAUGCCCAGUGCACACAUUUCAAUUCAUAGUCACUACUCUGUGUUUUCCAUGGUAUUUUCAUUACCUGGUGAGAUGUCCAUGUCCCCAAACACAGGUACAAAACAGUACAGGGUGCAAAGCCAGAGCUCUGAGAAUGCCUGAGCUGGUGAAGGAGUGACAGCCACGUCACCCUGCACUGUGUGCAGGACUGCUGACGUGCUAGGUCUGGCAAUGCUCUUGAUGGCACCUGGGAGAACAGGGGGACGUGGUUUCCCACAUCAUCAUCUUUCUUUACAAGCUCUUGAGGCUUCCAGGAGGAAGCUCUCCCUUUGUGCUCCAUCUUAAAGACAGAGAAAUCUGAAUUAGUGGCUUUGAUUCAGUAGGGCAUUUCAACACCUAGCUUAAAGCAUCAGAUGAGCUCCAGUGAGUACAGGAAGUGUGGGGGCAGUCAGAAUCACAAGCACAUAUGUAAAUAUUUCCCUGGAUGAGGCUUCAAAUUGCAUUUGGGAAAACAUGCAGUUAGAGAAAAAGAAGAACACAUUAAUUCCUUUUUUUUUUUCCCAACAGCAUUUAACUUCAUUUUUCUUAGAGUAGAGACGUGUGAAAAGCUGCACUGUUGCAGAUGAAACUACAUAAAAUAUGGUAGAUUAAAGAUUUGGAUAUUGAUUUCUCAGGAGACCUUUUCCAGUCUAGACUUUAUUGAUAUAUCCUGCCAAUUUGUUUGUCUGGUCUCCCUGUGAACAUAACAUUUGAUACUGCAGGCAAGGUAAAAAGAUCUUUGAUAAGCUUGCUGCUUCCUGUGUUCACAAUGCACUUUUGAAACACAACUUGGAGCUCCUCUGCACCACCCCCACCCUGCACGUUUUCACCAUGUGCUUUCAUGCUUUUCAUUUGUGCACCCCGUGCCUUCAUCCCGUGGUGGACCAUUCCCAACUUUCAAAUCUCCUGUGAAGAGAAGGCAACACCCUCUCAUCAAGUUUACCCUCGGGAUGGUGGACACACACUGCUGAACAGAGAAACAAGGAGUUUUCUCACCAAGUCCCUCAGAAGUGGCUGAAAUGCUCCAUGUCUAACGGAGAUCCCGGAUUCCGGCCGCUGUCCCAUUGUCCAGCGUGGGUGCCCGGGCUCGUAACCCAGCCAUUGAUGUGAACAGAACCAAUUAGCCCCCGCUCACAAUAGCUAAACCAGCUGAUGUUGCCUUCGCUUGAAACAAUGGCAGGACCUGCACGGGCUGUGUAACUCCUUCCAGAGUGGGACCGUGAGAAAGUGGAGCCCGUAAAUGGCCUUUCAGUGGAUGAACUCCUGAGCAGCCUUUCAUACUGUGAACUCAUCACUCGGCUGUCUGGGGGUGGUUUUCUUUAGAAAAUCCCCGUUCAAAUGCACCAUGCCAGUUUUCAGUGAUAAACCCUUCUGCUGAAUGAUAUUCUGUCUCAGUGCUGUGUUCACCCCAGUAUGGAUUCAUUCAGCAGCAUCUUUUCCCUCCAGCCCUCUUUUACAUUCCUUACCAUGCUUGUUCCUCUUCCUAAUGAUCAGGGAAUAGCAACGACCACUGAUGAGAGUGUGGCAAGAACUGAAUGUUGCUCCUAACAAUGGCAGUGAGGCUUCAUUUGAGAUUUGGAUGCCGAGAAAGUUCAAGCAAAGAAGCUGAUGAGAUCAGAAAAUCAGCCCUUCCAUAUGAAUCCAGUAACUUCCUUCCUUUUGACUACUUUCUCCUCCACCUAGCUGGAAUCUUGCCACCACGACUAAUCCCUGGAUAUCCAGAACCCAGCUCCUAGUAACAACAAGGCUGAGUUCGAAAAAUGACUGCUCUUCAAAGCUGCUGUACAGCAUUAUGUCCCUUCCCACCUGGAAUGUCUUCCA
This is a long non-coding RNA of Myiozetetes cayanensis, 3047 nucleotides long. RefSeq lists it as uncharacterized. The transcript is spliced from 4 exons. Lineage: Eukaryota; Metazoa; Chordata; Aves; Passeriformes; Tyrannidae. The record is from RefSeq and is a predicted model, not a curated record.